Molecule: transfer RNA, 77 nt
Filed under: Candidatus Eiseniibacteriota bacterium
Lineage: Bacteria; Candidatus Eiseniibacteriota
Also listed under: 1 other name
Description: tRNA-Trp
Rfam family: tRNA
About the family: Transfer RNA (tRNA) molecules are approximately 80 nucleotides in length. Their secondary structure includes four short double-helical elements and three loops (D, anti-codon, and T loops).
Source: RNAcentral
AGGCCUGUAGCUCUAACUGGCAGAGCGUCGGACUCCAAAUCCGGUGGUUGCAGGUUCGAAUCCUGCCAGGCCUGCCA